This is a long non-coding RNA of Felis catus (domestic cat), 1062 nucleotides long. RefSeq lists it as uncharacterized. The record is from RefSeq and is a predicted model, not a curated record. Lineage: Eukaryota; Metazoa; Chordata; Mammalia; Carnivora; Felidae. The transcript has 3 exons.
ACGUGGCAUGGCGGGCCUGCAAAUAAGUGGUUCCAGGGAAGGUCAUGUGACACCUUUGGGCCAAUGAGAUGCAGGGACAGAUAUGCUGAGGCUUCUGGCAACAUCUUUCCAUGUUCUUACAGGGUUUCUAGAAGAACACCUUUUUCCCUAGAGUUGCUGCUCUGAGUAAGGCUUAGAAUUUCUGCAGCUGUCUUACUACCUGAGGAGGAUGUCGCUAUACAAAGGAACACAGGGCCUUCCCAGGGAAUCCCUGGGAAAUGCAGUGAGGUCACUGAUGGAGUCCACCCUAAAGCUUGCCCUAUAUCUACACUUCUAGUAUGAAAAUCAAAAUACUUUUCCCAUACUGGUUGAACCAAUUUGACGUGAAUUUAUUGUUACCUACAACUCAAGAAACCCUAACUAGCUUAUAGGUAAGAAAAUCUAAGUAAAACCCUGAAAGUUGAGUGCUAUAAGGCAUUAUUAUUUACAGGAGUAACAUCUCUCCUGGCUUUAUGAUGAAGCCAAAUCAUCUUUGGGGGGCACCUCACGGAAUUAUGGAUUGUGGUGUGUGGGUCCUUUUGAUAAUAUCCCUGUCCAGUGGCUAUUUAACACACAGGUGGAUUCUCCCAGCAAUAGGGAUGUCAUCACCUCCUGAGGCAGGACUCAUGGUUGUGUCACUCAGCACAUCACAACGUGGUCAUUCUGGGAUUCAAAAUUUGUACCUGCUUUGUGCUGAGCUCACGUGAAGCAGAGAGAAGGCAGAAAAAUCGGGAAGGUGUAUUUAUUGCUAUUGGUCUGCAUUUUUCCCACAUGGAAAUGGCUGAGCUCAGGCAAGUCAGCUGCUGGUGGGACUGUGGUCUCCCUGUACCUUCCUGUCUUCUCCUUGCUGGCAUUCUCUCUGCAGGGACCUGAGGAAAGUCACAGCUCUUCUUUGGAAGGACACUAGCCAUUUGUCUGGUCUGCAUCUGAGGACUGAGACAUCCCAUGCUAAUAAGGCAAAGUUCCUGCAAACCAGAGCCAGUUGGUCAUGAGAGACAGAGAGAACGACUGGGGGAGUGGCAGGGAGAGAGAGGAGGAGCGAGA